This 1247-nucleotide ribosomal RNA is filed under the name Mexican potato purple top phytoplasma COAHP. RNAcentral describes it as "bacterial SSU rRNA". It matches the Rfam family "Bacterial small subunit ribosomal RNA", at positions 153 to 1399 of the family's 1533-position model. Lineage: Bacteria; Bacillati; Mycoplasmatota; Mollicutes; Acholeplasmatales; Acholeplasmataceae. The record is from RNAcentral.
GAAACGACUGCUAAGACUGGAUAGGAAAAGCGAAGGCAUCUUUACUUUUUUAAAAGACCUUCUUUGAAGGUAUGCUUAAGGAGGGGCUUGCGACACAUUAGUUAGUUGGCAGGGUAAAGGCCUACCAAGACUAUGAUGUGUAGCUGGACUGAGAGGUUGAACAGCCACAUUGGGACUGAGACACGGCCCAAACUCCUACGGGAGGCAGCAGUAGGGAAUUUUCGGCAAUGGAGGAAACUCUGACCGAGCAACGCCGCGUGAACGAUGAAGCACCUCGGUAUGUAAAGUUCUUUUAUUAAGGAAGAAAAAAGAGUGGAAAAACUCCCUUGACGGUACUUAAUGAAUAAGCCCCGGCUAAUUAUGUGCCAGCAGCCGCGGUAAUACAUAAGGGGCGAGCGUUAUCCGGAAUUAUUGGGCGUAAAGGGUGCGUAGGCGGUUUAAUAAGUCUAUAGUUUAAUUUCAGCGCUUAACGCUGUUCUGCUAUAGAAACUGUUUUACUAGAGUGAGAUAGAGGCAAGCGGAAUUCCAUGUGUAGCGGUAAAAUGCGUAAAUAUAUGGAGGAACACCAGAGGCGUAGGCGGCUUGCUGGGUCUUUACUGACGCUGAGGCACGAAAGCGUGGGGAGCAAACGGGAUUAGAUACCCUGGUAGUCCACGCCGUAAACGAUGAGUACUAAGUGUCGGGUAAAACCGGUACUGAAGUUAACACAUUAAGUACUCCGCCUGAGUAGUACGUACGCAAGUAUGAAACUUAAAGGAAUUGACGGGACUCCGCACAAGCGGUGGAUCAUGUUGUUUAAUUCGAAGAUACACGAAAAACCUUACCAGGUCUUGACAUUUUCUUGCGAAGUUAUAGAAAUAUAAUGGAGGUUAUCAGGAAAACAGGUGGUGCAUGGUUGUCGUCAGCUCGUGUCGUGAGAUGUUAGGUUAAGUCCUAAAACGAGCGCAACCCUUGUCGUUAAUUGCCAGCAUGUAAUGAUGGGGACUUUAACGAGACUGCCAAUGAAAAAUUGGAGGAAGGUGGGGAUUACGUCAAAUCAUCAUGCCCCUUAUGAUCUGGGCUACAAACGUGAUACAAUGGUUGAUACAAAGAGUAGCUGAAACGCGAGUCCUUAGCCAAUCUCACAAAAUCAAUCUCAGUUCGGAUUGAAGUCUGCAACUCGACUUCAUGAAGUUGGAAUCGCUAGUAAUCGUGAAUCAGCAUGUCGCGGUGAAUACGUUCACGGGGUUUGUACACACCGCCCGUCA